UUAAGUUAUUAAGGGCGCACGGUGGAUGCCUUGGCACUAGAAGCCGAUGAAGGACGUUACUAACGACGAUAUGCUUUGGGGAGCUGUAAGUAAGCUUUGAUCCAGAGAUUUCCGAAUGGGGAAACCCAGCAUGAGUUAUGUCAUGUUAUCGAUAUGUGAAUACAUAGCAUAUCAGAAGGCACACCCGGAGAACUGAAACAUCUUAGUACCCGGAGGAAGAGAAAGAAAAUUCGAUUCCCUUAGUAGCGGCGAGCGAAACGGGAAGAGCCCAAACCAAAAAGCUUGCUUGUUGGGGUUGUAGGACACUCUAUACGGAGUUACAAAGGACGACAUUAGACGAAUCAUCUGGAAAGAUGAAUCAAAGAAGGUAAUAAUCCUGUAGUCGAAAAUGUUGUCUCUCUUGAGUGGAUCCUGAGUACGACGGAGCACGUGAAAUUCCGUCGGAAUCUGGGAGGACCAUCUCCUAAGGCUAAAUACUCUCUAGUGACCGAUAGUGAACCAGUACCGUGAGGGAAAGGUGAAAAGCACCCCGGAAGGGGAGUGAAAUAGAACCUGAAACCGUGUGCUUACAAGUAGUCAGAGCCCGUUAAUGGGUGAUGGCGUGCCUUUUGUAGAAUGAACCGGCGAGUUACGAUUUGAUGCAAGGUUAAGCAGUAAAUGUGGAGCCGUAGCGAAAGCGAGUCUGAAUAGGGCGUUUAGUAUUUGGUCGUAGACCCGAAACCAGGUGAUCUACCCUUGGUCAGGUUGAAGUUCAGGUAACACUGAAUGGAGGACCGAACCGACUUACGUUGAAAAGUGAGCGGAUGAACUGAGGGUAGCGGAGAAAUUCCAAUCGAACCUGGAGAUAGCUGGUUCUCUCCGAAAUAGCUUUAGGGCUAGCCUCAAGUGAUGAUUAUUGGAGGUAGAGCACUGUUUGGACGAGGGGCCCCUCUCGGGUUACCGAAUUCAGACAAACUCCGAAUGCCAAUUAAUUUAACUUGGGAGUCAGAACAUGGGUGAUAAGGUCCGUGUUCGAAAGGGAAACAGCCCAGACCACCAGCUAAGGUCCCAAAAUAUAUGUUAAGUGGAAAAGGAUGUGGCGUUGCCCAGACAACUAGGAUGUUGGCUUAGAAGCAGCCAUCAUUUAAAGAGUGCGUAAUAGCUCACUAGUCGAGUGACACUGCGCCGAAAAUGUACCGGGGCUAAACAUAUUACCGAAGCUGUGGAUUGUCCUUUGGACAAUGGUAGGAGAGCGUUCUAAGGGCGUUGAAGCAUGAUCGUAAGGACAUGUGGAGCGCUUAGAAGUGAGAAUGCCGGUGUGAGUAGCGAAAGACGGGUGAGAAUCCCGUCCACCGAUUGACUAAGGUUUCCAGAGGAAGGCUCGUCCGCUCUGGGUUAGUCGGGUCCUAAGCUGAGGCCGACAGGCGUAGGCGAUGGAUAACAGGUUGAUAUUCCUGUACCACCUAUAAUCGUUUUAAUCGAUGGGGGGACGCAGUAGGAUAGGCGAAGCGUGCGAUUGGAUUGCACGUCUAAGCAGUAAGGCUGAGUAUUAGGCAAAUCCGGUACUCGUUAAGGCUGAGCUGUGAUGGGGAGAAGACAUUGAGUCUUCGAGUCGUUGAUUUCACACUGCCGAGAAAAGCCUCUAGAUAGAAAAUAGGUGCCCGUACCGCAAACCGACACAGGUAGUCAAGAUGAGAAUUCUAAGGUGAGCGAGCGAACUCUCGUUAAGGAACUCGGCAAAAUGACCCCGUAACUUCGGGAGAAGGGGUGCUCUUUAGGGUUAACGCCCAGAAGAGCCGCAGUGAAUAGGCCCAAGCGACUGUUUAUCAAAAACACAGGUCUCUGCUAAACCGUAAGGUGAUGUAUAGGGGCUGACGCCUGCCCGGUGCUGGAAGGUUAAGAGGAGUGGUUAGCUUCUGCGAAGCUACGAAUCGAAGCCCCAGUAAACGGCGGCCGUAACUAUAACGGUCCUAAGGUAGCGAAAUUCCUUGUCGGGUAAGUUCCGACCCGCACGAAAGGCGUAACGAUUUGGGCACUGUCUCAACGAGAGACUCGGUGAAAUCAUAGUACCUGUGAAGAUGCAGGUUACCCGCGACAGGACGGAAAGACCCCGUGGAGCUUUACUGUAGCCUGAUAUUGAAAUUCGGCACAGCUUGUACAGGAUAGGUAGGAGCCUUUGAAACGUGAGCGCUAGCUUACGUGGAGGCGCUGGUGGGAUACUACCCUAGCUGUGUUGGCUUUCUAACCCGCACCACUUAUCGUGGUGGGAGACAGUGUCAAGCGGGCAGUUUGACUGGGGCGGUCGCCUCCUAAAAGGUAACGGAGGCGCUCAAAGGUUCCCUCAGAAUGGUUGGAAAUCAUUCAUAGAGUGUAAAGGCAUAAGGGAGCUUGACUGCGAGACCUACAAGUCGAGCAGGGUCGAAAGACGGACUUAGUGAUCCGGUGGUUCCGCAUGGAAGGGCCAUCGCUCAACGGAUAAAAGCUACCCCGGGGAUAACAGGCUUAUCUCCCCCAAGAGUUCACAUCGACGGGGAGGUUUGGCACCUCGAUGUCGGCUCAUCGCAUCCUGGGGCUGUAGUCGGUCCCAAGGGUUGGGCUGUUCGCCCAUUAAAGCGGUACGCGAGCUGGGUUCAGAACGUCGUGAGACAGUUCGGUCCCUAUCCGUCGUGGGCGUAGGAAAUUUGAGAGGAGCUGUCCUUAGUACGAGAGGACCGGGAUGGACAUACCUCUGGUGUACCAGUUGUCGUGCCAACGGCAUAGCUGGGUAGCUAUGUGUGGACGGGAUAAGUGCUGAAAGCAUCUAAGCAUGAAGCCCCCCUCAAGAUGAGAUUUCCCAACUUCGGUUAUAAGAUCCCUCAAAGAUGAUGAGGUUAAUAGGUUCGAGGUGGAAGCAUGGUGACAUGUGGAGCUGACGAAUACUA
This 2900-nucleotide ribosomal RNA is filed under the name Staphylococcus aureus M1441. RNAcentral describes it as "bacterial LSU rRNA". It matches the Rfam family "Bacterial large subunit ribosomal RNA". The record is from RNAcentral. Lineage: Bacteria; Bacillati; Bacillota; Bacilli; Caryophanales; Staphylococcaceae.